ACCUGUCUCGAGCCCUUCUAUUUUGUUGGGUUCGGAAUUGGACGUCUUUGUCGUCGAUGGACGACUCGUCUUGAAACGCAUAUAGUCGGUUCUAAUCGAAGUAACAGAGCGGUGUGAUAAUAAUAAAGUCGACGCCGCGGACGUUUCUAAUAGAGCGACUUUGAAACCCGUCGAAUGACUGUCCUUUUGGGGGCAUAUAUUUAC
This 204-nucleotide unclassified non-coding RNA is filed under the name uncultured Basidiomycota. RNAcentral describes it as "sequence contains ITS2". Lineage: Eukaryota; Fungi; Basidiomycota. The record is from RNAcentral.